Non-coding RNA from Schistosoma rodhaini, 78 nucleotides. The record is from Rfam. Lineage: Eukaryota; Metazoa; Platyhelminthes; Trematoda; Strigeidida; Schistosomatidae.
AGUCACACCUGUAUCCGUGCUGAGAUUUUGUCACACCAGACCACAAGGGAUGAUGGGACUCCCAAUAUAAGUGAAGCG